This 301-nucleotide ribosomal RNA is filed under the name uncultured bacterium. Its description in RNAcentral is "partial 16S ribosomal RNA". It matches the Rfam family "Bacterial small subunit ribosomal RNA", at positions 509 to 809 of the family's 1533-position model. The record is from RNAcentral.
CAGUCGCCACGGUAACACAGAGGGUGCGAGCGUUAAUCGGAUUUACUGGGCGUAAAGCGUGCGUAGGCGGCUUCUUAAGUCGGAUGUGAAAUCCCUGAGCUUAACUUAGGAAUUGCAUUCGAUACUGGGAAGCUAGAGUAUGGGAGAGGAUGGUAGAAUUCCAGGUGUAGCGGUGAAAUGCGUAGAGAUCUGGAGGAAUACCGAUGGCGAAGGCAGCCAUCUGGCCUAAUACUGACGCUGAGGUACGAAAGCAUGGGGAGCAAACAGGAUUAGAUACCCGCGUAGUCCCUGUCUCUUAUAA